CUUUCAUGGAGAACACGUCUUCUGACAAAACCUAACAAGGGAUAAAGUGUUUGGUUGCUGAGAGGACAUGUAACUUCCCAAAACUCUGCAGAGUUGGCUUUGGGCCUUGUAUAAUUGCCCAAGCAAAGAUGGCGACUUUGGCCAACAUGUAUGUUCCUCUUAGGGACUUCUAUCAAAUGAAGAGCCACGGACAGCUGACGAAAAGAGGUUACGAUGAGGAAGAAAGAAAUCUUCUUCGUGGGAGAAGAAAAUAUAGUAUAGGUUUCUAAGCCUCCUCAUUAUAGUAGUUGUUAAUAACAUUUGAAAAUAAAGUUUCUCUGCG
Molecule: long non-coding RNA, 322 nt
Organism: Hyla sarda
Lineage: Eukaryota; Metazoa; Chordata; Amphibia; Anura; Hylidae
Exons: 3
Source: RefSeq, a predicted model, not a curated record